RNAcentral lists this ribosomal RNA (432 nucleotides) under uncultured bacterium. RNAcentral describes it as "partial 16S ribosomal RNA". It matches the Rfam family "Bacterial small subunit ribosomal RNA", at positions 29 to 507 of the family's 1533-position model. The record is from RNAcentral.
ACGCACGCUGGCGGCAUGCCUAACCCCUGCCAGUCGCACGAGACCUUCGGGUCUAGUGGCGCACGGGUGCGUAACGCGUGGGAACCUGCCCUUAGGUUCGGAAUAACUCCCCGCAAGGGGUGCUAAUACCGGAUAAUGUCUUCGGACCAAAGAUUUAUCGCCUUUGGAUGGGCCCGCGUUGGAUUAGCUAGUUGGUAGGGUAAAAGCCUACCAAGGCGACGAUCCAUAGCUGGUCUGAGAGGAUGAUCAGCCACACUGGGACUGAGACACGGCCCAGACUCCUACGGGAAGCAGCAGUGGGGAAUAUUGGACAAUGGGCGAAAGCCUGAUCCAGCAAUGCCGCGUGAGUGAUGAAGGCCUUAGGGUUGUAAAGCUCUUUUACCCGGGAUGAUAAUGACAGUACCGGGAGAAUAAGCGCCGGCUAACUCCGUG